This 829-nucleotide ribosomal RNA is filed under the name uncultured organism. RNAcentral describes it as "bacterial SSU rRNA". It matches the Rfam family "Bacterial small subunit ribosomal RNA", at positions 504 to 1327 of the family's 1533-position model. The record is from RNAcentral.
CGUGCCAGCAGCCGCGGUAAUACGUAGGGGGCUAGCGUUGUUCGGAAUCACUGGGCGUAAAGGGAGUGUAGGCGGACCGGUAAGUUAGGAGUUAAAUGUACGGGCUCAACCCGUGAUCUGCUUUUAAUACUGUCGGUCUUGAGUAUGGGAGAGGGAGAUGGAAUUCCAGGUGUAGCGGUGGAAUGCGUAGAUAUCUGGAAGAACACCAGUUGCGAAGGCGGUCUCCUGGACCAAUACUGACGCUGAUGCUCGAAAGCUGGGGGAGCGAACAGGAUUAGAUACCCUGGUAGUCCCAGCCGUAAACGAUGGACACUAGUUGCCGGAGGAGUCAAUCCCUUCGGUGACGAAGCUAACGCAUUAAGUGUCCCGCCUGGGGAGUACGCUCGCAAGGGUGAAACUCAAAGGAAUUGACGGGGGCCCGCACAAGCGGUGGAGCAUGUGCUUUAAUUCGAUGCAACGCGAAGAACCUUACCUGGGUUUGACAUGGGGGUGAAAGUUUCCAGAGAUGGAAGCCUUUCCUUCGGGAACACCCCACACAGGUGCUGCAUGGUUGUCGUCAGCUCGUGUCGUGAGAUGUUGGGUUAAGUCCCGCAACGAGCGCAACCCCUGCCCUUAGUUGCCAUCAGGUAAAGCUGGGAACUCUAAGGGGACAGCUUGGUAUAACCAGGAGGAAGGUGGGGAUGACGUCAAAUCAUCAUGGCUCUUACGCCCAGGGCUAGACACGUGCUACAAUGGCAGGUACAGUGGGAUGCCAGCCUGCGAAGGUGAGCUAAUCCCUUAAAACCUGUCUCAGUCCGGAUUGGAGUCUGCAACUCGACUCCAUGAAGUU